RNAcentral lists this ribosomal RNA (826 nucleotides) under uncultured bacterium. RNAcentral describes it as "bacterial SSU rRNA". It matches the Rfam family "Bacterial small subunit ribosomal RNA", at positions 8 to 854 of the family's 1533-position model. The record is from RNAcentral.
AGAGUCUGAUCCUGGCUCAGAACGAACGCUGGCGGCAUGCCUAACACAUGCAAGUCGAACGCUCUUGGGGCUUCGGUUUCAAGGGAGUGGCGCACGGGUGAGUAGCGCGUGGGAAGCUGCCCUGUUGUGGGGGAUAACCGAGGGAAACUUCGGCUAAUACCGCAUACGCCGGUUGUCUUGAGAGAGAUGGCCGGGAAAGAUUGAUCGCAGCAGGAGGGGCCCGCGUCGGAUUAGGUAGUUGGUGGGGUAACGGCCUACCAAGCCUGUGAUCCGUAGCUGGUCUGAGAGGAUGAUCAGCCACACUGGGACUGAGACACGGCCCAGACUCCUACGGGAGGCAGCAGUGGGGAAUAUUGGACAAUGGGCGCAAGCCUGAUCCAGCAAUGCCGCGUGAGUGAUGAAGGCCUUCGGGUUGUAAAGCUCUUUCGCACGCGACGAUGAUGACGGUAGCGUGAGAAGAAGCCCCGGCUAACUUCGUGCCAGCAGCCGCGGUAAUACGAAGGGGGCGAGCGUUGUUCGGAUUUACUGGGCGUAAAGGGCGCGUAGGCGGCGAUGAAAGUCAGGCGUGAAAGCCCCGGGCUCAACCUGGGAGGUGCGCUUGGGACUACAUUGCUGGAGUUCGGGAGAGGAGCGUGGAAUUCCCAGUGUAGAGGUGAAAUUCGUAGAUAUUGGGAAGAACACCGGUGGCGAAGGCGGCGCUCUGGACCGAUACUGACGCUGAGGCGCGAAAGCGUGGGGAGCAAACAGGAUUAGAUACCCUGGUAGUCCACGCUGUAAACGAUGUGUGCUAGACGUUGGAGAGCCUAGCUCUUCGGUGUCGCCGCUA